GACGAACGCUGGCGGCGUGCCUAAUACAUGCAAGUAGAACGCUGAAGAGAGGAGCUUGCUCUUCUUGGAAGAGUUGCGAACGGGUGAGUAACGCGUAGGUAACCUGCCUUGUAGCGGGGGAUAACUAUUGGAAACGAUAGCUAAUACCGCAUAACAAUGGAUGACCCAUGUCAUUUAUUUGAAAGGGGCAACUGCUCCACUACAAGAUGGACCUGCGUUGUAUUAGCUAGUAGGUGAGGUAACGGCUCACCUAGGCGACGAUACAUAGCCGACCUGAGAGGGUGAUCGGCCAGACUUGGACAGAGACACGGCCCAGACUCCUACGGGAGGCAGCAGUAGGGAAUCUUCGGCAAUGGGGGCAACCCUGACCGAGCAACGCCGCGUGAGUGAAGAAGGUUUUCGGAUCGUAAAGCUCUGUUGUAAGUCAAGAACGAGUGUGAGAGUGGAAAGUUCACACUGUGACGGUAGCUUACCAGAAAGGGACGGCUAACUACGUGCCAGCCGCCGCGGUAA
Molecule: ribosomal RNA, 513 nt
Filed under: uncultured bacterium
Lineage: Bacteria
Description: partial 16S ribosomal RNA
Rfam family: Bacterial small subunit ribosomal RNA
Source: RNAcentral